UUUUAUGGAGAGUUUGAUCCUGGCUCAGGAUGAACGCUGGCGGCGUGCCUAAUACAUGCAAGUCGAGCGAACGGACGAGAAGCUUGCUUCUCUGAUGUUAGCGGCGGACGGGUGAGUAACACGUGGAUAACCUACCUAUAAGACUGGGAUAACUUCGGGAAACCGGAGCUAAUACCGGAUAAUAUUUUGAACCGCAUGGUUCAAAAGUGAAAGACGGUCUUGCUGUCACUUAUAGAUGGAUCCGCGCUGCAUUAGCUAGUUGGUAAGGUAACGGCUUACCAAGGCAACGAUGCAUAGCCGACCUGAGAGGGUGAUCGGCCACACUGGAACUGAGACACGGUCCAGACUCCUACGGGAGGCAGCAGUAGGGAAUCUUCCGCAAUGGGCGAAAGCCUGACGGAGCAACGCCGCGUGAGUGAUGAAGGUCUUCGGAUCGUAAAACUCUGUUAUUAGGGAAGAACAUAUGUGUAAGUAACUGUGCACAUCUUGACGGUACCUAAUCAGAAAGCCACGGCUAACUACGUGCCAGCAGCCGCGGUAAUACG
This 545-nucleotide ribosomal RNA is filed under the name Staphylococcus aureus. RNAcentral's name for it is "bacterial SSU rRNA". It matches the Rfam family "Bacterial small subunit ribosomal RNA", at positions 1 to 527 of the family's 1533-position model. Lineage: Bacteria; Bacillati; Bacillota; Bacilli; Caryophanales; Staphylococcaceae. The record is from RNAcentral.